Non-coding RNA from Lonchura striata (white-rumped munia), 574 nucleotides. The record is from RefSeq and is a predicted model, not a curated record. NCBI's taxonomy places the organism in Eukaryota, Metazoa, Chordata, Aves, Passeriformes, Estrildidae.
AUGAUUUUAUGAUCAUUGUGGGUGCUCUCCAGCUCUGCAUAUUCCAUGAUUCUAUGGUCAUUGUGGGCCAUCUCCAGCUCUGCGUAUUCCAUGAUUCUAUGAUCAUUACGGGUCCUCUCCAGCUCUGUAUAUUCCAUGAUUCUAUGGUCAUUGUGGGUCUUCUCCAGCUCUGCAUAGUCAUGGAAUAUGAUCAUUGUGGGUCCUCUCCAGCUCUGCAUAUUCCAUGAUUCUAUGGUCAUUGUGGGUGCUCUCCAGCUCUGCAUAUUCCAUGAUUCUAUGGUCAUUGUGGGUGCUCUCCAGCUCUGCAUAUUCCAUGAUUUUAUGGUCAUUGUGGGUCCUCUCCAGCUCUGCAUAUUCCAUGUUCUUCUUUCCCGCUCCCACGUUCCUGGUGGAUCAGGGAUGGCUGGAUGGGGUUGGUGGUGCUGGAAGCUGGCGGAGCUGGAAGGAGAAGUUUUGCUCACACCACGAGCAGCAGGACUGCAGGGACAGAUGCCACCCCUGGGUGCCAACACCACCGACAGCCAGGACCUAGAGUCAACAUGAAAUAAAUAUUAAAAUAUUCCAGUGAAAGCAA